Molecule: transfer RNA, 69 nt
Filed under: Heterocephalus glaber (naked mole-rat)
Lineage: Eukaryota; Metazoa; Chordata; Mammalia; Rodentia; Bathyergidae
Rfam family: tRNA
About the family: Transfer RNA (tRNA) molecules are approximately 80 nucleotides in length. Their secondary structure includes four short double-helical elements and three loops (D, anti-codon, and T loops).
Source: Rfam by way of RNAcentral
GGGCAUGCAGCUCAGUGGGAGAGCACCUGCUUAGCAUGCAGGUGGCCCUGGGUUUGACCCCUGGCACCA